GACGAACGCUGGCGGCGCGCCUAACACAUGCAAGUCGAACGAGAGAUGAGGAGCUUGCUCUUCAAAUCGAGUGGCGAACGGGUGAGUAACGCGUGAGGAACCUGCCUCAAAGAGGGGGACAACAGUUGGAAACGACUGCUAAUACCGCAUAAGCCCACGGCUCGGCAUCGAGCAGAGGGAAAAGGAGCAAUCCGCCUUGAGAUGGCCUCGCGUCCGAUUAGCUAGUUGGUGGGGUAAUGGCCCACCAAGGCGACGAUCGGUAGCCGGACUGAGAGGUUGAACGGCCACAUUGGGACUGAGACACGGCCCAGACUCCUACGGGAGGCAGCAGUGGGGAAUAUUGCACAAUGGGGGAAACCCUGAUGCAGCGACGCCGCGUGGAGGAAGAAGGUCUUCGGAUUGUAAACUCCUGUUGUUGAGGAAGAUAAUGACGGUACUCAACAAGGAAGUGACGGCUAACUACGUGCCAGCAGCCGCGGUAAAACGUAGGUCACAAGCGUUGUCCGGAAUUACUGGGUGUAAAGGGAGCGCAGGCGGGAGAACAAGUUGGAAGUGAAAUCCAUGGGCUCAACCCAUGAACUGCUUUCAAAACUGUUUUUCUUGAGUAGUGCAGAGGUAGCCGAAAUUCCCGGUGUAGCGGUGGAAUGCGUAGAUAUCGGAAGGAACACCAGGGGCGAAGGCGGCUUACUGGGCACCAACUGACGCUGAGGCUCGAAAGUGUGGGUAGCAAACAGGAUUAGAUACCCUGGUAGUCCACACCGUAAACGAUGAUUACUAGGUGUUGGAGGAUUGACCCCUUCAGUGCCGCAGUUAACACAAUAAGUAAUCCACCUGGGGAGUACGACCGCAAGGUUGAAACUCAAAGGAAUUGACGGGGGCCCGCACAAGCAGUGGAGUAUGUGGUUUAAUUCGACGCAACGCGAAGAACCUUACCAAGUCUUGACAUCCCUUGACGAUGCUGGAAACAGUAUUUCUCUUCGGAGCAAGGAGACAGGUGGUGCAUGGUUGUCGUCAGCUCGUGUCGUGAGAUGUUGGGUUAAGUCCCGCAACGAGCGCAACCCUUAUGGUCAGUUACUACGCAAGAGGACUCUGGCCAGACUGCCGUUGACAAAACGGAGGAAGGUGGGGAUGACGUCAAAUCAUCAUGCCCUUUAUGACUUGGGCUACACACGUACUACAAUGGCGUUAAACAAAGAGAAGCAAGACCGCGAGGUGGAGCAAAACUCAGAAACAACGUCCCAGUUCGGACUGCAGGCUGCAACUCGCCUGCACGAAGUCGGAAUUGCUAGUAAUCGUGGAUCAGCAUGCCACGGUGAAUACGUUCCCGGGCCUU
RNAcentral lists this ribosomal RNA (1333 nucleotides) under uncultured bacterium. Its description in RNAcentral is "bacterial SSU rRNA". It matches the Rfam family "Bacterial small subunit ribosomal RNA", at positions 28 to 1382 of the family's 1533-position model. The record is from RNAcentral.